UACGGGGGGGGCAAGCGUUGUUCGGAAUUACUGGGCGUAAAGGGCUCGUAGGCGGCCAACUAAGGCAGACGUGAAAUCCCUCAGCUUAACUGGGGAACUGCGUGUGAUACUGGAUGGCUUGGAUUUGGGAGAGGGAUGCGGAAUUCCAGGUGUAGCGGUGAAAUGCGUAGAUAUCUGGAGGAACACCGGUGGCGAAGGCGGCAUCCUGGACCAAUAUUGACGCUGAGGAGCGAAAGCCAGGGGAGCAAACGGG
RNAcentral lists this ribosomal RNA (253 nucleotides) under uncultured bacterium. Its description in RNAcentral is "partial 16S ribosomal RNA". It matches the Rfam family "Bacterial small subunit ribosomal RNA", at positions 524 to 776 of the family's 1533-position model. The record is from RNAcentral.